UAAUACCGGAUUUCCAAAUACAACUUUAUUUACUUUUAUUUAACUGAUUACCCAUACAAACAAUCUUUCACGUCUAGCACUUUUAAAAAACAAUUUUACAUAUUAUGUUAUUAAAUUGUAUAGACAGAUAAUUAAUUUUCUAUACAAAUGUUAAAAUUUUAAAAAAAAAUACAAUUUUUUUUUAUGAUAAUAUGGCUUUUGUGCGUUGCAGAUGUAACGGGACGCAAUA
Molecule: non-coding RNA, 229 nt
Organism: Cinara cedri
Lineage: Eukaryota; Metazoa; Arthropoda; Insecta; Hemiptera; Aphididae
Source: the annotation of a GenBank genome assembly